Molecule: ribosomal RNA, 256 nt
Filed under: uncultured marine eukaryote
Lineage: Eukaryota
Description: partial 18S ribosomal RNA
Rfam family: Eukaryotic small subunit ribosomal RNA
Source: RNAcentral
UUAAAAAGCUCGUAGUUGGAUUUCUGUGGGGACGGAGCGGCCGGCCGCUACUAGCGGUUCGAGCUAGCGCUUUCCCUACAUCCUGCCGCGAAACCGUGCUACCAUUAGUUUGGUGGCGCCGGGGAUCGGCUCCGUUUACUUUGAGAAAAAUAGAGUGUUCAAAGCAGGCCACACGCCUUGAAUAAGUUAGCAUGGAAUAAUAACUAAGGACUUCGGUUCUAUUUUGUUGGUGUUCGGGACUGAAGUAAUGAUUGAU